Molecule: long non-coding RNA, 1027 nt
Filed under: Zonotrichia albicollis (white-throated sparrow)
Lineage: Eukaryota; Metazoa; Chordata; Aves; Passeriformes; Passerellidae
Description: lncRNA (ENSZALG00000005363.1)
Source: RNAcentral
GAUUUUGGGGCUGGAUUUGGAUCCAGGAUUUGGGGAUUUUGGGGGGAUUUGGGAUCCUGGAUGGAUUUUUGGGACCCUGGACAGAAUUUGGGUGCAGAUUUUGGGAUCCUGGCUGGAUUUUGGGGUGCGUUUGAGGGGAUUUGGGGCUGGAUUUGGGAUCUUUGAUGAAUUUUGGGGAUCCUGGGCUGCAUUUGGGAGAUCCUGAAAAGAUUUUGGGAUUCUGGGCUGGAUUUGGGGACCCUGGGCUGCAUUUUGGGCACAUUUCAGAGGAUUUGGGGAUCCUGGGCUGCAUUUUGGGUACAUUUUAGGGGAUUUGGGGCUGGAUUUUGAGGAUCCUGGAUGGAUUUGGGGACCCUGGGCUGCGUUUUGGGCACAUUUCAGGGGAUUUGGGGCUGGAUUUUGGGAUCCUGGAUGGAUUUUGGGAUCCUGAACUGUAUUUUGGGAUUCUGGGCUGCAUUCUGGGUACAUUUCAGGGGAUUUGGGGAUGGAUUUUGGGAUCCUGGAUGGAUUUGGGGAUCCUGGGCUGCAUUUUGGGAUUCUGGAUGGAUUUUGGGCACAUUUCAGGGGAUUUGGGGACCCUGGGCUGUAUUUUGGGCACAUUUCAGGGGAUUUGGGGCUGGAUUUUGGGAUUCUGGAUGGAUUUUGGGCACAUUUCAGGGGGUUUGGGGCUGGAUUUUGGGAUCCUGGAUGGAUUUGGGACCCUGGGCUGUAUUUUGGGACCCUGGGCUGCAUUUUGGGCACAUUUCAGGGGAUUUGGGGAUCCUGGGCUGCAUUUUGGGCACAUUUCAGGGGAUUUGGGGACCCUGAGCUGUGUUUUGGGCACAUUUCAGGGGAUUUGGGGCUGCAUUUUGGGAUCCUGGAUGGAUUUUGAACACAUUUCAGGGGUUGGGGUCUCACCCAGCUGCGAGUGGGAGAAGUCCACGGACCAGCCCACCCGGAGCAGCGGCACCUCGGAGCUGCCCUCCUUCCCCGGCAGGUUCUGGGACACCUGAGGGCAAAUUUGGGCAUUUGGGACCCAAAAAAUCCG